This 253-nucleotide ribosomal RNA is filed under the name uncultured bacterium. Its description in RNAcentral is "partial 16S ribosomal RNA". It matches the Rfam family "Bacterial small subunit ribosomal RNA", at positions 524 to 776 of the family's 1533-position model. The record is from RNAcentral.
UACGGAGGGGGCCAGCGUUGUUCGGAAUUAUUGGGCGUAAAGGGCGCGUAGGCGGUCGAGUAAGUCUGACGUGAAAUCCCUUGGCUCAACCAAGGAACUGCGUCUUAAACUGCUCGGCUUGAGUCCGGGAGAGGGUAGUGGAAUUCCCAGUGUAGCGGUGAAAUGCGUAGAUAUUGGGAGGAACACCGGUGGCGAAGGCGGCUACCUGGACCGGUACUGACGCUGAGGCGCGAAAGCCAGGGGAGCAAACGGG